CAGCCGCCGCGGUAAAACGAAGGGUGCAAGCGUUAAUCGGAAUUACUGGGCGUAAAGCGUGCGUAGGCGGUUUGUUAAGUCUGUUGUGAAAUCCCCGGGCUCAACCUGGGAAUGGCAAUGGAUACUGGCAAGCUAGAGUGUGUCAGAGGAUGGUGGAAUUCCCGGUGUAGCGGUGAAAUGCGUAGAGAUCGGGAGGAACACCGAUGGCGAAGGCAGCCCCCUGGGCCAAUACUGACGCUCAUGCACGAAAGCGUGGGGAGCAAACAGGAUUAGAUACCCCAGUAGUCCCUGUCUCUUAUAC
Molecule: ribosomal RNA, 301 nt
Filed under: uncultured bacterium
Lineage: Bacteria
Description: partial 16S ribosomal RNA
Rfam family: Bacterial small subunit ribosomal RNA
Source: RNAcentral